CAUUAACGAAUAUAAUUCGAGGGGUUGUCGCUGGCCUCGCUCGCGCGAGGCAUGUGCACGCUUCUCGUUUUUCUCUCAACUCACCUGUGCACCUAAUGUAGGAUGCCUCUCCUCCGGGAGGGGGGACCUAUGUCUUCGUAACAUCUUCGUGUAGAAAGUCUUUGAAUGUUUACUAUCAUCGAGUCGCGACUUCUAGGAGACGCGAUUCUUUGAGAUAAAAGUUAUUACAACUUUCAGCAACGGAUCUCUUGGCUCUCGCAUCGAUGAAGAACGCAGCGAAAAGCGAUAUGUAAUGUGAAUUGCAGAUCUACAGUGAAUCAUCGAAUCUUUGAACGCACCUUGCGCUCCUCGGUGUUCCGAGGAGCAUGCCUGUUUGAGUGUCAGUAAAUUCUCAACCCCUCUCGAUUAGCUUYGAGAGGGWGCUUGGAUAGUGGAGGUUGCCGGAGACUUGGAUUCGUCCGAGACUCGGGCUCUUCUGAAAUGCAUCGGCUUGCGGUCGACUUUCGACUAUGYGCGACAAGGCUUUCGGCGUGAUAAUGAUCGCCGUUCGCUGAAGCGCAUGACUGAAYGUCCCGUGCCUCUAAUAYGUCGACCGCUUAUUAUCUCUCCGGAGAGAACAGGGUCUUCCUUAUUGACUUUUGACCUCAAAUCAGGUAGGACUACCCGCUGAACUUAAGCAUAUCAAUAAGCGGAGGAAAAGAAACUAACAAGGAUUCCCCUAGUACUGCGAGUGAAGAGGGAAAA
Molecule: ribosomal RNA, 744 nt
Filed under: Rhizopogon salebrosus
Lineage: Eukaryota; Fungi; Basidiomycota; Agaricomycetes; Boletales; Rhizopogonaceae
Description: eukaryotic LSU rRNA
Rfam family: 5.8S ribosomal RNA (bases 229-383)
Source: RNAcentral